GAGUGUAUAGCUCAGUGGUAGAAUGCCUGCUUAGCAUGCAAGAGGUCCUGGGUUCAACCCCCAGUACCUCCA
Molecule: transfer RNA, 72 nt
Filed under: Camelus bactrianus (Bactrian camel)
Lineage: Eukaryota; Metazoa; Chordata; Mammalia; Artiodactyla; Camelidae
Also listed under: 2 other names
Rfam family: tRNA
About the family: Transfer RNA (tRNA) molecules are approximately 80 nucleotides in length.
Source: Rfam by way of RNAcentral